GUUAACCUACAGGAGGCAGCAGUAGGGAAUUUUCGUCAAUGGGCGCAAGCCUGAACGAGCAAUGCCGCGUGAACGAGGAAGGUCUUCGGAUCGUAAAGUUCUGUUGAAGGGGAAAAAGAGCGGAGAGAGGAAAUGAACUCCGAUUGAUAUUACCCUUCGAGGAAGUCACGGCUACCUACGUGCCAGCAGCCGCGGUAAUACGUAGGUGGCGAGCGUUAUCCGGGAUGAUUGGGCGUAAAGGGUGCGUAGGCGGCCUGCUAAGUCUGGAGUGAAAGGUACCGGCUCAACCGGUACAGGCUCUGGAA
This 305-nucleotide ribosomal RNA is filed under the name uncultured bacterium. RNAcentral's name for it is "bacterial SSU rRNA". It matches the Rfam family "Bacterial small subunit ribosomal RNA", at positions 333 to 631 of the family's 1533-position model. The record is from RNAcentral.